Molecule: ribosomal RNA, 239 nt
Filed under: uncultured bacterium
Lineage: Bacteria
Description: partial 16S ribosomal RNA
Rfam family: Bacterial small subunit ribosomal RNA
Source: RNAcentral
CCUUCGGGGUGAGCGGCGGACGGGUUAGUAACGCGUGGGAACGUACCCUUCUCUACGGAAUAGCCAUUGGAAACGAUGAGUAAUACCUUAUACGCCCUACGGGGGAAAGAUUUAUCGGAGAAGGAUUAGCCCGCGUUAGAUUAGGUAGUUGGUGGGGUAAUGGCCUACCAAGCCUACGAUCUAUAGCUGGUUUGAGAGGAUGAUCAGCCACACUGGGACUGAGACACGGCCCAGACUCC